This 163-nucleotide ribosomal RNA is filed under the name uncultured bacterium. RNAcentral's name for it is "partial 16S ribosomal RNA". It matches the Rfam family "Bacterial small subunit ribosomal RNA", at positions 355 to 509 of the family's 1533-position model. The record is from RNAcentral.
UAGGGAAUUUUCGUCAAUGGGGGCAACCCUGAACGAGCAAUGCCGCGUGGGCGAAGAAGGUCUUCGGAUUGUAAAGCUCUGUUGGCCGGGGAAAAAGGAAGGAAAGAGGAAAUGCUUUUCUUUGGAUGGUACCCGGCCAGAAAGUCACGGCUAACUACGUGCC